UGAGGAAUCUUCCGCAAUGGGCGAAAGCCUGACGGAGCGACACCGCGUGGAGGACGAAGGCCUUUUGGUUGUAAACUCCCUUUCUGGGGGAAUAAAUGAUGAAUGUACCCCAGGAAUAAGCACCGGCUAACUACGUGCCAGCAGCCGCGGUAAUACGUAGGGUGCAAGCGUUAUCCGGAAUUAUUGGGCGUAAAGAGUUCGUAGGUGGUACACCAAGUUUGUAGUUAAAUACGGUCGCUCAACGAUCGAAGCGCUACGAAAACUAGUGAACUAGAGAGUGGCAGAGGUAACUGGAAUUCCACAUGUAGGGGUAAAAUCCGUUGAUAUGUGGAGGAACACCAAAAGCGAAGGCAGGUUACUGGGCCAUUUCUGACACUGAGGAACGAAAGCGUGGGGAGCAAACAGG
Molecule: ribosomal RNA, 406 nt
Filed under: uncultured bacterium
Lineage: Bacteria
Description: bacterial SSU rRNA
Rfam family: Bacterial small subunit ribosomal RNA
Source: RNAcentral